Molecule: ribosomal RNA, 253 nt
Filed under: uncultured bacterium
Lineage: Bacteria
Description: partial 16S ribosomal RNA
Rfam family: Bacterial small subunit ribosomal RNA
Source: RNAcentral
UACGUAGGUGGCGAGCGUUGUCCGGAUUUACUGGGCGUAAAGGGCGUGCAGGCGGUUUGUUAAGUCUAGGGUGAAAGCUCCCGGCUCAACUGGGAGAGGUCCUUGGAUACUGGCAGACUUGAGGAGGGUAGAGGAGAGUGGAAUUCCCGGUGUAGUGGUGAUAUGCGUAGAUAUCGGGAGGAACACCAGUGGCGAAGGCGGCUCUCUGGACAGUUCCUGACGCUGAGGCACGAAGGCCAGGGGAGCAAACGGG